This 484-nucleotide ribosomal RNA is filed under the name uncultured bacterium. RNAcentral describes it as "partial 16S ribosomal RNA". It matches the Rfam family "Bacterial small subunit ribosomal RNA", at positions 29 to 507 of the family's 1533-position model. The record is from RNAcentral.
AGUGAACGCUGGCGGCAGGCCUAACACAUGCAAGUCGAGCGGCAGCGCGGGGGCAACCCUGGCGGCGAGCGGCGGACGGGUGAGGAAUUCGUCGGAAUCUGCCUUUUUGUGGGGGAUAACGUAGGGAAACUUACGCUAAUACCGCAUACGUCCUACGGGAGAAAGUGGGGGACCGCAAGGCCUCACGCAGAAAGAUGAGCCGACGACCGAUUAGCUAGUUGGUGGGGUAAAGGCCCACCAAGGCGACGAUCGGUAGCUGGUCUGAGAGGAUGAUCAGCCACACUGGGACUGGGACACGGCCCAGACUCCUACGAGAGGCAGCAGUGGGGAAUAUUGGACAAUGGGCGCAAGCCUGAUCCAGCCAUGCCGCGUGUGUGAAGAAGGCCUUCGGGUUGUAAAGCACUUUUGUCCGGAAAGAAAUCCCUGGAGCUAAUACCUUCGGGGGAUGACGGUACCGGAAGAAUAAGCACCGGCUAACUUCGUG